RNAcentral lists this transfer RNA (71 nucleotides) under Algisphaera agarilytica. Its description in RNAcentral is "tRNA-Gln". It matches the Rfam family "tRNA". From Rfam's summary of the family: Transfer RNA (tRNA) molecules are approximately 80 nucleotides in length. Their secondary structure includes four short double-helical elements and three loops (D, anti-codon, and T loops). Further hydrogen bonds mediate the characteristic L-shaped molecular structure. tRNAs have two regions of fundamental functional importance: the anti-codon, which is responsible for specific mRNA codon recognition, and the 3' end, to which the tRNAs corresponding amino acid is attached (by aminoacyl-tRNA synthetases). tRNAs cope with the degeneracy of the genetic code in two manners: having more than one tRNA (with a specific anti-codon) for a particular amino acid; and 'wobble' base-pairing, i.e. permitting non-standard base-pairing at the 3rd anti-codon position. Lineage: Bacteria; Pseudomonadati; Planctomycetota; Phycisphaerae; Phycisphaerales; Phycisphaeraceae. The record is from RNAcentral.
GCCCCGAGGUGUAACAGGCUGCACAUCUGACUCUGGAUCAGAAGGUACCGGGUUCGAGACCCGGCGGGGCG